AUGGGAGAGGCCUUGUGGUGUUUUUUCCUGAGUUUAGGAGGACAGUUUCUCCAUCUCCCACUUCAAUCAUCAAAGGAAGCCUGAGAAGCCCCUGCUCCAAAAAGUUCGUGUCUCCUUCCUUCUUUGUGGGAAGAAGCUACCUCCCGAAAUGAAUGAGUCUGAGUUAGAAGAAUGAAGCAAACAAACACCAAAACUCUUGGAAAAUACAAUGUGUCUAAACUGAUGGAGCCUUCUGCAAGGUAGAGGUGGCGCAGUGCAGUCUAGCAGAUAGCCCAAAUAGGCAACAUCUCAGCAUUGUGGUGAGAAUAUGCCCUCAGUUAUCUGAAGAACCUCCUCAGCAAUAAAAAUCAGCUCAGAAAGAGGAGUAAGGAAAGAGUCACCCAUUUAAAGAGCAUCAUUUCCAGGCUGAAGAACAUCCCACAAGAAAAACAGACAGUAAUCAGUAACAGAGGCAAAGAAUGAUGGAGAGACUGCAUCCCAUGACAGCGUCUGAACCACAGGAGUCAUCAUCCUUUCACAGCUACCCCAUGUAUAACGUAUCAGCUGAUUGCUAUAUCUGGUCUUAGAAAAAGAGAUGCUUCAUUGGAAAUGCCCAACCAACAAACAGACAAGGAAAGGAAAUGGAAAUAUUGCAUCUAGGCUCUUGCAUUUUGAAGUUUUGAAAAUAGAUUUUAUUUCAUUUUAUUUUUAGGCCAUUAAUUGGUUCUUCCAAUCUGUCAGUCCCACAAAGACACAGCUCUCCAGGCACACACCCAGCUAGCAAACCUGCAGCUGCAGAAGGUCCCUCCAUACGCUAUAUGCAAAUCCUUCUGGAAGCUGGGAAUCAUUUGACUUAUGAGGUUCCUGUCUCCUAUACCCAAGUCAUUCAUCUAAUUUACAUGCCUUCAGCUGCUUGUUUGUUUGCUUAGCAUGCUAAGUAAAAUUUUUUUAGAGAGAGUCACCAUUUAUAUAUGCUCUUUACAGGAUGUGUUCAUGUGUUACACAAAGACUACUUCUCUGUUUACCUAUUGCUGACUCCCUGGAGAAGACUGUGGCAAAGUCUCCUGUGCACCAAGACUUAUUUCCAUGCUGAAUGCAACUAUGCGACCUGGUGAAGAUAAGAUAUAAUUCAGACUGGCCAAAAGUAAAUGACUGCUUCACAAGCUGUUCUGGGAACUGAUCAAUGUGCAAAUGUCAUAUCUUGCAGAGCUGAUUGAUCAAGUGACAAAGAGAAGAACAAGGGAGGCUUUCAUCCCUCUGCUUUCACAGGUCACUAUUUCAGCCUGUAUCCCCAGCUCUUCCUGUUUACACCUGCAGAUAACUCCUGGCUGACAAGAGAGGGGCAAAAGGCUUUUCCUGAGGAAAAGUGACUCCACAUGUUUGACUGUAGCACACUGAGAAGGAAAAAUAUGUUAUUCACUCACUUUCCCUUGAGAUCCAGAAUGCAGAAAUGGGUGGUUCGUAUCGUUCUCUCUGACUACUGAGUAGUAUCUCCAUCAGAAUGUAGUCCACAGGGUAAAUGUUAUUUUUCACAAUGUAUUUUGGAAAGCUGUUUGUAAACACUACAGUGAGUUCAAUAACACUCACAUUGAGGACAGUGAGAACUGGAAGAAAGAGACCUACAACUUGCAAAAGCCUAGAGGAAAAGGUAAGAGUUGUGUAAAAGAAAAAAGCAAGAAUGAGUAAGGAUCUCUAUUUGCCCUUCAGCUAUCCUCUCUCUUUUUUUUUUCUAUUAAAGCUUUGAGAAAAAGAAUGACAACAGUUCAUCUAUUUUAUUAACAUUUUUUCUUCCCUGGAGAAUUAGAUGGGUGCAGACAGCAAGGAAGGAGAGAAUUAUUUUAGGCUAAUAUCUUGGGUAUUAAUUAUAUACCUAGGGUAUAAUUAGGGUAUAGCUAAGAAUCCUGGGAUAAUUAUAGGAAAUAGAAAACUGAGGCUGAAUAUUUGAAAAAAAAAAAAUUUCUGUCUGUACUGAGCUGUAGAAUAGUUGCCCAAGAGAAACGUUCAUUGUUUUGCAUAUGUAAAAAGUGAUGGGCUACAAAUUGGGAAAUAUAUCUUAUAAAUGACCUUGUUUUCAAGACAUGCUUCUCGUGUUAAGUUCCAGAUGAUCCAUAUCUGUUGGUGUCCUCUGGUUUUCACUUAUGACUAGUUUAUAUCAGAAAUAAGAGAUAAUGUAACUGAUGUUAAAGAGCUGUUCAUGGGCCUGAAAUACUGCAUCAUUUGCUUUUCCAUGCAUCCCUUCUGCUCUCAUUACCAUCUCAAUGAUAAUUGCUCAACUCUUUUCCACAUGUAGUAUCCAACCUGUUGUUUAGGGAAAAUAUGAGCUCCACUGUGAACUACAUCACAAGCAGCAACCUUUCCACAGAAGGAAAAUGAGCAAGAUGCAGAAACAAGUCUCCCCUAACUCUAACCUUGGGGAUUAUCUGAAAAUUAUAAAUUUAAGGAGGAACAGGAGGAAAAAAGGAAUGAGUCCUUACUGCUAACAUAAGAAGACCAGACAGAAUGAAGUUGCCAUUCAUUUGGCUGUGAAAGCUGGGUUACUGCAUGUCAUCUAUUGUCUUUCUCACCAAGCAGCAUGGACAUAAGCACAAACUCUUCCAACUACACAAGCUACAGAAAGAACUUUAAGAUGCACUACUAUGACAGCUUGUGUAAGUGCUUUGACACCUCUUUUUCUGAAUAGUAAGUGGAGAGAUCAACCCACCAGUAAACUUUGCAAUCUACUGAUCUGUCUGAGCAUCUCUGAGGGCUACCCAACAUCAUCUACACACAUCCUUUAAAGGCUUUAAGGAGCUUGCAGGCUUCAGUCUGGCCCAGAGUGAGAACACAGGUAUCCAGGUGAAGCACAGGUAAAAGCAUUACUGGAAAUGUCCUUAUUCAAAGAACUGUGGGGCUUUGGACUGAUCCACUAGUGUUGUCCAAGUCUGGAUUAUUAAUGAACCUUCUCUUCUUGUUGUAACUGCUAGUGCCUGCUGGUAGCUUAAUCGUAGCUUCUUGAGGGCAGAGAAAAGGGAAGACUGAAAAUUACUACUAGUAUUUUGAACUGCAGGAGAAUAUCUUUGCUUUUCCCUUGUUCUUUGAAGGAAGAUAAUUGCUGUCAUCUUUCUGGGAGAGAGUGCCCUUACAACUGAAUGUCAAGA
Molecule: long non-coding RNA, 3116 nt
Organism: Numida meleagris (helmeted guineafowl)
Lineage: Eukaryota; Metazoa; Chordata; Aves; Galliformes; Numididae
Exons: 5
Source: RefSeq, a predicted model, not a curated record